Molecule: ribosomal RNA, 423 nt
Filed under: uncultured bacterium
Lineage: Bacteria
Description: bacterial SSU rRNA
Rfam family: Bacterial small subunit ribosomal RNA
Source: RNAcentral
AAGACCUUGCGCUUUUGGAGCGGCCGAUGUCUGAUUAGCUUGUUGGUGAGGUAAGGGCUUACCAAGGCUUCGAUCAGUAGCUGGUCUGAGAGGACGGCCAGCCACACUGGGACUGAGACACGGCCCAGACUCCUACGGGAGGCAGCAGUGGGGAAUUUUGGACAAUGGGGGCAACCCUGAUCCAGCCAUGCCGCGUGAGUGAAGAAGGCCUUCGGGUUGUAAAGCUCUUUCAGCCGGAACGAAACGGUUACGAUUAAUACCCGUAACUACUGACGGUACCGGAAGAAGAAGCACCGGCUAACUACGUGCCAGCAGCCGCGGUAAUACGUAGGGUGCGAGCGUUAAUCGGAAUUACUGGGCGUAAAGCGUGCGCAGGUGGUUUUGUAAGUCAGAUGUGAAAUCCCCGGGCUUAACCUGGGAACU